This is a transfer RNA of Treponema saccharophilum DSM 2985, 83 nucleotides long. It matches the Rfam family "tRNA". Rfam says of the family: Transfer RNA (tRNA) molecules are approximately 80 nucleotides in length. Their secondary structure includes four short double-helical elements and three loops (D, anti-codon, and T loops). NCBI's taxonomy places the organism in Bacteria, Pseudomonadati, Spirochaetota, Spirochaetia, Treponematales, Treponemataceae. The record is from Rfam.
GCCGGGUUGGUGAAAUGGUAGACACAACAGACUCAAAAUCUGUCGCCUGCAAGGGUAUCUGAGUUCGAGUCUCAGACCCGGUA